CAGAGUUGAUCCUGGCUCAGGAUGAACGCUAGCUACAGGCUUAACACAUGCAAGUCGAGGGGCAGCAUCAUCAAAGCUUGCUUUGAUGGAUGGCGACCGGCGCACGGGUGAGUAACACGUAUCCAACCUGCCGACAACACUGGGAUAGCCUUUCGAAAGAAAGAUUAAUACCGGAUGGUAUAGUUUUCCCGCAUGGGAUGAUUAUUAAAGAAUUUCGGUUGUCGAUGGGGAUGCGUUCCAUUAGG
RNAcentral lists this ribosomal RNA (245 nucleotides) under uncultured bacterium. RNAcentral describes it as "partial 16S ribosomal RNA". It matches the Rfam family "Bacterial small subunit ribosomal RNA", at positions 8 to 245 of the family's 1533-position model. The record is from RNAcentral.